Molecule: non-coding RNA, 2821 nt
Organism: Misgurnus anguillicaudatus (oriental weatherfish)
Lineage: Eukaryota; Metazoa; Chordata; Actinopteri; Cypriniformes; Cobitidae
Source: RefSeq, a predicted model, not a curated record
ACAGAUAUCAAGAGUGAUGAAAAUUUACAUGUGGUGUAGGCUUUAGAAUUAGGCGUGGGAAAAUGGCUCUAUAGCGCCACCUACAAAUUUUCAACGAAGCAGCCCACAGACUGUGUUUGACGUACAAUUACGAAAUUUGGUACGCUUCUGUAGCAUGACAAGACCUACAAAAAAGUCUCUUGGAGCGAAGCCGUAAACCAAACAGGAAGUCAGCUAUUCUGAGUUAUUUUUGUGAUUUGGGCGCAGUUUUUGUCAUUUCCAGGCGUCAUACUUUAACUAACUCCUCCUACAGUUUUCGUCGGAUCGUCUUCAUAUUUGGUGAGUGUCAUCUUAAGGCCUUUGUGAUGCUAAAUUGCGAAGGAUUUGACUCUACGUAAAAAUUUGUGUCGGUUCUGGCCCGACAAAUUUAAUGUUUUCCAAUGAAACAGGAAGUUGCUGGAACUCAUGCAUACAGUGUCCGAUCUGUCCCAAAUUUCACAUGAUUGCUAAGAGUCCUGACCUGAACACAUCUACAUAACAAUUUUCAUUUAUAGCCAUAGCACCACCAGCUGGCAACCUGAAGGAACAUGUUUUAGCCCCACUUUCAAAUAUUGAAUGAAGCAGCCCUUGGACUGUGUUUAACUUACAUGUACGAAUUUCGGUAUGCUCAUGUAUUAUUACAAGCCCUACAAAAAAGUCUCUUGGAGCAACGCCCUACACCAAACAGGAAGUCAGCUAUUUUGAAUUAUUUCUCAGAUUUUGGCUCAGUUUUUCUCAUUUCCAGCAGUCAUACUUUAACUAACUCCUCCUACAGUUUUCGUUGGAUCAUCAUCAUAUUUGGCGAGUCUCAUCUUAAGGCCUUCGUGAUGCUAAAUUGCAAAGGAUUUGAUUCUAUAUUAAAAUUUGUGUCUGUUUCGGCCAGCCAAAGUUUGAUGUUUCGCUAUGAAACGGGUUGCUGGAACUCAGGCAUACAGUGUCCGAUCUGUCCCAAACUUCACAUGAUUGCUAAGAGUCCUGACCUGAACACAUCUACAUGUCAAUAGUCACUUAUGGUUAUAGCGCCACCAGCUGGCAACAGGAAGUGACAUGUUUACAAUGAUUAUGCAAUGUCUGAUCUGUCCCAAACUUCACAUGAUUAAUAAGAGUCCUGGACUGAACACAUCUACAUGUCAAUAGUCACUUAUGGUUAUAGCGCCACCAGCUGGCAACAGGAAGUGACAUGUUUACAAUGAUUAUGCAAUGUCUGAUCUGUCCCAAACUUCACAUGAUUAAUAAGAGUCCUGGACUGAACACAUCUACAUGUCAAUAGUCACUUAUGGUUAUAGCGCCACCAGCUGGCAACAGGAAGUGACAUGUUUACACUGAUUAUGCACUGUCCGAUCUUUCCCUAACUUCACAUGAUUAAUAAGAGUCCUGGACUGAACACAUCUACAUGUCAAUAGUCACUUAUGGUUAUAGCGCCACCAGCUGGCAACAGGAAGUGACAUGUUUACAAUGAUUAUGCAAUGUCUGAUCUGUCCCAAACUUCACAUGAUUAAUAAGAGUCCUGGACUGAACACAUCUACAUGUCAAUAGUCACUUAUGGUUAUAGCGCCACCAGCUGGCAACAGGAAGUGACAUGUUUACAAUGAUUAUGCAAUGUCUGAUCUGUCCCAAACUUCACAUGAUUAAUAAGAGUCCUGGACUGAACACAUCUACAUUUCAAUAGUCACUUAUGUUUAUAGCGCCACCAGCUGGCAACAGGAAGUGACAUGUUUACACUGAUUAUGCAAUGUCUGAUUUUUCCUAACUUCACAUGAUUAAUAUAGUCCUGGACUGAACACAUCUACAUGUCAAUAGUCACCAGUGUUGGGCAAGUUACUGAAAAUUAGUAAUUAGUUACAGUUACUAGUUACUUCUUUUAAAAGUAACUGAAUUACUGUACCAGUUACUGUAUAUCAAAAGUAAUUAGUUACUUAGAAAAGUAACUUUUAAGUUACUUUUAUGUCUGCUUUUUAAAUGUAAGUGGGUCAAAGACGAGACGUCACCAUUUUGGUGUCCGCAUCAAAUAUAAUUUACAAAAGUGAUUUUACAUACAAAAAACACCUAUAAAAUGAAAGUAAAAUGUCUACUUUUAUGUUUCAUAUAACUUUUGUGAAAAUACAAUGACCAAAUAUGAGUUUAAUAAUGCUCCAAAGUGUAAAAUCGUCAUUCAGCGUAAUGGUCCGGACUAGGAUUUUACUAAUAGAUUUUUAAAUAAACGUAUAAAAUACCAUGUUAAAAAAAAAAAUUGCUUCCUUGGCAUGUUCACAUAAGUGUUGGCUGUUUUAUAUUAAUAGGACUAUGUGUUAUUUUUUUCGUUAAAUAUUGAAACAACUAGGGGACUUUUGUCCCGAAUAUGCAGUUUGUCAGAGGUCAUUCAGUGUAACGGGAUCAGGAAGCCAUUUUGAAAUUAAAUACACAAACAAUAGUCAUCAAGCAGUCUGUGACAUCAUCAAAGGGGCCCCUGAAGACCAUGUGGUGAUUCAGCAAGAUGCCCACAAACAAAAAGUUUCUAGGCACUGGCAGAAAGUUAAUGCAGACCCAGUAGCUAGGGCAAUGCAUUUAGGAAGGAGACGAGAAAGUAACCAGAGAAGAAAGCAAGCUGCCUUGGCUGCAAAUCCAGAUCACCCGUCAAUCAGGAAUUUAUCAGAUGCUGCAGCUGAGAAGAGGCAAAAGCAAUGGCGGGAAAAUCAAAGUAAACACAGGGCAGAAGCUAAACGUAUAAGGGCAGUUCUGGAUCUUAUUAUACAGUAUUACCACCUGUUCAGUUAAUUUUUACGAAUAUGAUAUGUAUUGUGGAAUAAAAUGAUUAUUAAUUUCA